GCGCGAAAACUUUACAAUGCGGGAAACCGUGAUAAGGGGACACCGAGUGUCAGCGUCAUACGCUGGCUGUCCGGGUGUGUAAAAUACACCUGUUAGCAAGGGCCGGGCAAGACCGGUGCCAGCCGCCGCGGUAACACCGGCGGCCCGAGUGGUGAUCGUGAUUAUUGGGUCUAAAGGGUCCGUAGCCGGUUUGGUCAGUCCUCCGGGAAAUCUGAUAGCUCAACUAUUAGGCUAUCGGGGGAUACUGCCAGACUUGGAACCGGGAGAGGUAAGAGGUACUACAGGGGUAGGAGUGAAAUCUUGUAAUCCCUGUGGGACCACCUGUGGCGAAGGCGUCUUACCAGAACGGGUUCGACGGUGAGGGACGAAAGCUGGGGGCACGAACCGG
Molecule: ribosomal RNA, 388 nt
Filed under: uncultured Methanosarcina sp.
Lineage: Archaea; Methanobacteriati; Methanobacteriota; Methanomicrobia; Methanosarcinales; Methanosarcinaceae
Description: bacterial SSU rRNA
Rfam family: Archaeal small subunit ribosomal RNA
Source: RNAcentral